RNAcentral lists this ribosomal RNA (506 nucleotides) under uncultured bacterium. Its description in RNAcentral is "partial 16S ribosomal RNA". It matches the Rfam family "Bacterial small subunit ribosomal RNA", at positions 29 to 523 of the family's 1533-position model. The record is from RNAcentral.
AGUGAACGCUGGCGGUAGGCCUAACACAUGCAAGUCGAACGGCAGCACAGGAGAGCUUGCUCUCUGGGUGGCGAGUGGCGGACGGGUGAGGAAUACAUCGGAAUCUACUCUGUCGUGGGGGAUAACGUAGGGAAACUUACGCUAAUACCGCAUACGACCUACGGGUGAAAGCAGGGGAUCUUCGGACCUUGCGCGAUUGAAUGAGCCGAUGUCGGAUUAGCUAGUUGGCGGGGUAAAGGCCCACCAAGGCGACGAUCCGUAGCUGGUCUGACAGGAUGAUCAGCCACACUGGAACUGAGACAAGGUCCAGACUCCUACGAGAGGGAGCAGUGGGGAAUAUUGGACAAUGGGCGCAAGCCUGAUCCAGCCAUACCGCGUGGGUGAAGAAGGCCUUCGGGUUGUAAAGCCCUUUUGUUGGGAAAGAAAUCCAGCUGGCUAAUACCCGGUUGGGAUGACGGUACCCAAAGAAUAAGCACCGGCUAACUUCGUGCCAGCAGCCGCCGUAA